UUGUAGCGGUGUUUGAAAAGGAUCACCAACCAGGGGACAUACCUAAUACUUUUGAUGUUGUAUUAGUUGAUGGAUUUUUCCUUAUACAUACAUUACGUGAUGUUCCAGCAACAUUUGGUAAUAUAUAAAAAAAAAUCAUGUCAUGUUUAACAGCUACAAAAGCUCCUCGAGUUGAUAUCGUUUUCGAUCAGUACAAGUCUCCCUCAAUUAAAGACUAUGAACGUCAUUUAAGAAAUGAAACAACUUCAAUCGAUUUCAAUAUAAGUGGACCAAUGCAAGUUCGACCAACUGAUUUUAAUAAAGGAUUAAAGAAUAUAAAAUUCAAACAGGCUUUGGUAACCUUUUUAAUCGAACAUUGGCGUCAACCUGAAAUGGUGCCUUUCAUUGGCCAAACUAUAAUAAAUUUGAAUUAUGAUUUUUGUUAUUCCUACAGGCUGGAAAACAAUAAUAUUAGUCAAACAAUAGAUGAUAAUUUAUAUUGUGAAAAUCAUGAAGAAGCUGAUACCAAAUUAGUUUACCAUGCUUGUCAACUUGAAUCUGAAUCAACUACCAACGUUCUCAUUAAAUCAUGUAAUACUGAUAUUCUAAUUAUCAUGCUUGGCAAUAUGGACAACCUAAAAUGCGAUAGCUUGAAUAUCUACAUGGAGUAUGGAGCUGCAAACAAAAAAAGAACUUUAAAUCUGACACAACUUUACGUUGAAUUAGGUCCGACUGUUUGUUCAAGUUUACCCGGGUUUCAUGCAAUUACGGGGUGCGAUUAUAAUCCAUCUUUUUUCAAAAAAGGCAAAAAAAGGCCUUUUCAAUUGAUUCGAGAAAAUCCUGAUUAUCAGAAAGCGCUAACUGAUCUUGGAAAUUCAAAAAUUCCUGGAUUACCGUAUGAAACGUUUGCGACACUUGAAAAAUUUGUAUGUGAAUUGUACGGGCACAAGAACAUUUCGGAUAUAAAUAAAGUACGUUACGAGAAGUUUUGCCUUACGUAUAAAUCAAAGGAUGUUAAUGAACCUUUUUAAAAAACUAUUAUGAAAUACGACGCUUCAAAUUUACCACCGUGUAAAGCUGAAUUACACCAACACCUCUUAAGAACUCAAUAUAUCACGAGUAUUUGGCGAAACGCUCAUCUAUGUACUCCUACAUAUUUGUUCCCUGGAACCCAUGGUUGGACUUUGCAAGAUGACGCCUAUGAAUUUAAAUGGUUCGAGGGUGAUUGUAUGCCACAAACUGUCUUGGAUGCUAUUAGAACCGGCUCAUCCACAGAAAAAGAUUCUGUUAACGAAGCUGAUGAACGCGAUUGUUACGAUGAAGACAUGUUUUCAAGUGAUGAUUCGACAGAAGAAGAAUCAGAUAACAGCAGCGAUGAAGAUGAAAAUUGAAUAAACGAUUUAAUAACUAUUUAAAUAUUAUACUUAGAAAUAAAUACUUUAACCUUUAUGU
This 1431-nucleotide unclassified non-coding RNA is filed under the name Cotesia glomerata. RNAcentral's name for it is "uncharacterized LOC123266847, transcript variant X1". Lineage: Eukaryota; Metazoa; Arthropoda; Insecta; Hymenoptera; Braconidae. The record is from RNAcentral.